RNAcentral lists this ribosomal RNA (440 nucleotides) under uncultured bacterium. RNAcentral's name for it is "partial 16S ribosomal RNA". It matches the Rfam family "Bacterial small subunit ribosomal RNA", at positions 338 to 795 of the family's 1533-position model. The record is from RNAcentral.
CCUACGGGUGGCAGCAGUGGGGAAUAUUGCACAAUGGGGGAAACCCUGAUGCAGCGACGCCGCGUGAGCGAAGAAGUAUUUCGGUAUGUAAAGCUCUAUCAGCAGGGAAGAAGGUGACGGUACCUGACUAAGAAGCCCCGGCUAACUACGUGACAGCAGCCGCGGUAAUACGUAGGGGGCAAGCGUUAUCCGGAUUUACUGGGUGUAAAGGGAGCGUAGACGGCGAUGCAAACCAGAUGUGAAAGCCGGGGGCUCACCCCCGGGACUGCAUUUGGAACUGUGUGGCUGGAGUGUUUGAGAGGCAGGUGGAAUUCCUAGUGUAGCGGUGAAAUGCGUAGAUAUUAGGAGGAACACCAGUGGCGAAGGCGGCCUGUUGGACGUUGACUGACGUUGAUGCUCGAAAGCGUGGGGAGCAAACAGGAUUAGAUACCCGAGUAGUC